GACGAACGCUGGCGGCGUGCUUAACACAUGCAAGUCGAACGGAGCUAUUUAUUUCGGUAGAUAGCUUAGUGGCAAACGGGUGAGUAACGCGUAGGCAACCUGCCCUUAGGAUGGGGACAACGGCCCGAAAGGACCGCUAAUACCGAAUGGACUCUAACUUUCGUAUGAAAGAAAGAGGAAAGAUGGUGCAAGCCAUCGCCGAAGGAAGGGCCUGCGUCUGAUUAGCCAGUUGGUGAGGUAACGGCUCACCAAAGCGACGAUCAGUAGCCGGUCUGAGAGGAUGAACGGCCACAAUGGGACUGAGACACGGCCCAUACUCCUACGGGAGGCAGCAGUGGGGAAUCUUCCGCAAUGGGCGAAAGCCUGACGGAGCAACGCCGCGUGAGUGAAGAAGGUCUUCGGAUCGUAAAGCUCUGUUGUCGGGGACGAAAGGGAAGGGGAGGAAAUGCCCUUUUAAGACGUACCCGACGAGCAAGCCACG
This 481-nucleotide ribosomal RNA is filed under the name Veillonellaceae bacterium oral taxon 132. Its description in RNAcentral is "bacterial SSU rRNA". It matches the Rfam family "Bacterial small subunit ribosomal RNA", at positions 28 to 495 of the family's 1533-position model. Lineage: Bacteria; Bacillati; Bacillota; Negativicutes; Veillonellales; Veillonellaceae. The record is from RNAcentral.